Molecule: small nuclear RNA, 169 nt
Gene: U1
Rfam family: U1 spliceosomal RNA
About the family: U1 is a small nuclear RNA (snRNA) component of the spliceosome (involved in pre-mRNA splicing).
Source: Ensembl
AUACUUACCUGACAGGGGAGAUACCAUGAUCGAGAAAGUGGUUUUCCCAGGGCGAGUCUCUUCCAUUGCACUCCGGAUGUGCUGACCCCUGAGAUUUCUCCAAAUGUGGGAAAUUUGAAUGCAUUAAUUUGCAGCACUUGGGGGGGGACUGCAUUCCUACUCUCUCCUG